AUUGAACGCUGGCGGUAUGCUUAACACAUGCAAGUCGAACGGCAGCACAGUAUGUAGCAAUACAUAUGGGUGGCGAGUGGCGGACGGGUGAGUAACGCGUAGGAAUCUACCCUAAAGCGGGGGACAACCCGAGGAAACUCGGGCUAAUACCGCAUAAUCUCGAAAGAGUAAAGCUGGGGCAACCUGGCACUUUAGGAGGAGCCUGCGUCCGAUUAGCUAGUUGGUGAGGUAAAGGCUCACCAAGGCGAUGAUCGGUAGCUGGUCUGAGAGGAUGAUCAGCCACACUGGGACUGAGACACGUCCCAGACUCCUACGGGAGGCAGCAGUGGGGAAUAUUGGACAAUGGGGGCAACCCUGAUCAAGCAAUACCGAGUGUGUGAAGGAGGCCUUAGGGUUGUAAAGCACUUUAGUUGGGGAAGAAGGAUAGUUGUUUAAGAGAUGAUUAUUUUGACGGUACCCAAAGAAUAAGCACCGGCUAACUCUGUGCCAGCCGCCGCCGUAA
RNAcentral lists this ribosomal RNA (502 nucleotides) under uncultured bacterium. RNAcentral describes it as "partial 16S ribosomal RNA". It matches the Rfam family "Bacterial small subunit ribosomal RNA", at positions 30 to 523 of the family's 1533-position model. The record is from RNAcentral.